CUUCCUACGGGAGGCAGCAGUGGGGAAUAUUGCACAAUGGGGGAAACCCUGAUGCAGCGACGCCGCGUGGGUGAAGAAGUACUUCGGUACGUAAAGCCCUAUCAGCAGGGAAGAAAAUGACGGUACCUGAUUAAGAAGCCCCGGCUAACUACGUGCCAGCAGCCGCGGUAAUACGUAGGGGGCAAGCGUUAUCCGGAUUUACUGGGUGUAAAGGGAACGUAGACGGCAGAGCAAGUCUGAAGUGAAAGCCCGCGGCCCAACUGCGGGACUGCUUUGGAAACUGCCCGGCUAGCGUGCUGGGGAGG
This 305-nucleotide ribosomal RNA is filed under the name uncultured bacterium. RNAcentral describes it as "bacterial SSU rRNA". It matches the Rfam family "Bacterial small subunit ribosomal RNA", at positions 335 to 657 of the family's 1533-position model. The record is from RNAcentral.